RNAcentral lists this ribosomal RNA (253 nucleotides) under uncultured bacterium. RNAcentral's name for it is "partial 16S ribosomal RNA". It matches the Rfam family "Bacterial small subunit ribosomal RNA", at positions 524 to 776 of the family's 1533-position model. The record is from RNAcentral.
UACGUAGGGUGCAAGCGUUAAUCGGAAUUACUGGGCGUAAAGCGUGCGCAGGCGGUUCUAUAAGACAGAUGUGAAAUCCCCGGGCUCAACCUGGGAACUGCAUUUGUGACUGUAGAGCUGGAGUGCGGCAGAGGGGGAUGGAAUUCCGCGUGUAGCAGUGAAAUGCGUAGAUGUGCGGAGGAACACCGAUGGCGAAGGCAAUCCCCUGGGCCUGCACUGACGCUCAUGCACGAAAGCGUGGGGAGCAAACAGG